UACGACUACAUAUCAGGCAUAUCAAUAAGCGGAGGAAAAGAAACUAACAAGGAUUCCCCUAGUAACGGCGAGUGAAGCGGGAAGAGCUCACAUUUGAAAUCUUCAAGGUUCUACCUUGACGAAUUGUAGUUUAAAGAAGUGUUUUCGGUUAGAGGAGUAGUAAAAGUUCUUUGGAAUAGGACAUCAUAGAGGGUGAGAAUCCCGUAUUUGACUAUUCUUUCUAGCUUUGUGAUACACUUUCAAAGAGUCGGAUUGUUUGGGAAUGCAGUCCAAAAUGGGUGGUAAAUUUCAUCUAAAGCUAAAUAUUGGCGAGAGACCGACAGCGAACAAGUACCGUGAGGGAAAGAUGAAAAGAACUUUGAAAAGAGAGUUAAACAGUACGUGAAAUUGUCAAAAGGGAAGCGUUUGACACCAGUGUUGUUUCUACGAAAAUCAAUUUAUGAUGGCUUGAUGCUAAGCUUUAAGACUUUAUCCGCUUGUUGUUUAGUUUUCUUGUCUUUGUGAAUGCACUUUUCGUGGAACAAGUCAACAUCAAUUUCUUUUGCUGUAAAAGGGUAAGAGGAAGGUGGCUUCGGCUUCGGUUGAAGUGUUUAUAGCCUUUUAUCUCUGCAGUCGGAGAGAUUGAGGUCUGCAGCGUAGACUCUUCGGGGUUAGAUACGUCGGUGCUAAGCUAUAGCUUUUCAUAGACAACUUGUUGACUAUGUUUAGUCAUGUGGCUUACCCGCUGGCGCUAUUUUACCUACGCUUAGGAUGUUGACUGAUAUGUAGUCGU
This 772-nucleotide ribosomal RNA is filed under the name uncultured Neocallimastigales. RNAcentral describes it as "partial large subunit ribosomal RNA". It matches the Rfam family "Eukaryotic large subunit ribosomal RNA", at positions 24 to 643 of the family's 3401-position model. Lineage: Eukaryota; Fungi; Neocallimastigomycota; Neocallimastigomycetes; Neocallimastigales. The record is from RNAcentral.